AAAGACCGAACAUUUGUUCAUCCACUAGCACACAAUCUUCGGUCUUUGCUCCGUCGUUACCCAGCACGCCCUUUCAUAUCUCUCCCUGCCUCCCUAUUUCUCUCUCUAAAGCGUAGACUCUAAACCCUAGUUUACCUAGUCUUUCCUUCUCUUUUUUUCUCUGAAAUCUCCUAAAAGCCUGUAAAGCGCCAUGAAAGUGGCAGAAGACGAUCCUAUCAAUGUCUCAAAUCAGCUUCUACAGUCUCUUUUAGACGAAAUCAUUCAAGUACAGACCUUUAAAGGCAAAUGGGCUCUAAUCAGAGCCAAGCUCUCCGAUCUCCAUUCUCAACUCGCCGAUUUCGCAGACUUCCCGGCUUCCACCUGCAACCCGCUAUGUCUUGACCUACUUCACUCCAUUUCCCAUUCUUUAAACGAUGCCGUAAUUUUGGCUAGAAAAUGUCAGACGCCUAAUUUCACAGAAGGUAAGCUCCGGACUCAGAGCAAUGUCGAUUCCGUUUUGGCCAAGUUGGAUCGGCAUGUCAAGGACAGCGAGAUUUUGAUUAAAAGUGGGGUUCUUCAAGGCAGUGUCGUUUCAGGGGGUUCUUCUUCGAAGAGGGAGGCAGUGCGGGCCGAGUCGAGGAACUUAAUAACCCGCUUGCAGAUUGGUAGCAAUGAGGGGAAGAAUUCGGCCAUGGACUCCCUUCUCGUGUUGCUUCAAGAGGAUGAUAAGAAUGUAAUGAUUGCAGUGGCACAGGGUGUUGUUCCCGUGCUUGUUCGUUUACUGGAUUCGAGCUCCCUGGAGAUGAAAGAGAAGACUGUAGCAGCAAUUUCGAGGGUUUCGAUGGUGGAUAGUAGCAAGCAUGUUUUAAUUGCGGAGGGUCUAUUGCUUUUGAAUCAUUUGCUUCGGGUUCUAGAAUCGGGAAGUGGGUUUGCGAAGGAAAAAGCAUGCGUUGCACUUCAAGCUUUAAGCUUUUCGAAGGAGAACGCUAGGGCAAUUGGGUCUAGAGGCGGAAUUUCUUCGCUAUUAGAAAUUUGCCAGGCGGGCACGCCGGGUUCACAGGCUUUUGCGGCUGGUGUUUUGAGAAAUCUCGCCGUAUUUGAAGAAAUUGGGGAGAAUUUUAUAGAAGAGAAUGCGGUUUUAGUUCUUGUUGGGCUUGCAGCUUCCGGGACUGCGUUGGCCCAAGAGAACGCAAUCGGGUGUUUAUGUAAUUUGGUGAAAGGCGAUGAGAAUUUGAAGCUUGUGAUUGUGAAGGAAGGGGGCAUCGAGUGCUUGAGAAACUUCUGGGAUUCAGCUCCUCCUGUAAGAAGUCUUGAAGUUGCUGUUGAUUUAUUGAGGCACCUGGCUUCGAGCCAAGUUAUUGCAGAAAAGCUUGUUUCUGAUUUAUUUAUUGUCAGGCUUGUGGAAGUGUUGAAUUGUGGAGUUUUGGCUGUGAGAAUUGCAGCUGCAAUGGCUGUCUACGAACUUGGUUUCAACACCAAGACAAGAAAGGAAAUGGGUGAAUGUGGAGUAAUUAUUCCAUUGAUUGAGAUGUUAGAUGGUAAAGCUGUCGAAGAUAGAGAAGCGGCAGGAAAGGCAUUGUCACGUCUUGUAUUAUAUGCAGGAAACAAAAGGAUUUUUAGAAAAGAUGAAAGGGGGAUAGUGAGUACAGUUCAGCUAUUAGAUCCUUUGAUACAGAAUUUGGACAAGAAAUACCCUGUUUCAAUAUUGGCCUCGGUUGUGCAUUCUAAAAAGUGUAGAAAACAAAUAAUCGCUGCUGGUGCCUGUGUACAUUUGAAGAAACUUGUUGAGAUGAAUAUAGACGGAGCAAAGAAGCUUUUGGACGGUCUCGGCCGUCGUAAGUUUUGGGGCGUCUUUGCCAGGCCAUAGCAGCCAUAGAAGUCUUGAAUUGCUGCAUCAAAGAAACAUGGAUUCGAAGAUUAUUGGUUCAUCUGUAUGUACAUUAUCUGUGUUCAAUUUUACUUGAUUUUUAUUCUCUCUUUUUUGCUCAUACAAUUGUCAAGUUGCUGUAGGAGUAAACAUCGGUAGCUUAACUGCCGUUGGAGAAACUCUUGUAGAGCCGAAAUCUUGUUUUGUUGACCUAACUAGAUUGGAGUCCAUGUCCAUUAUCGUAAAUUCAAUAAUUGAUUGUACUGUAUUGUGUCUAAGACAGCACUUCUGCUUUAUCUAUUACUGACUCUUAUGGUUACCAAAUUCUCUGUUAAAAUUAAGGCAUAGCACUAUCAACUCUGUAGGUAGGUCUCCUUUGCCCUUUUUGAGUUGUUUGAAAAAUGAAUGUGUCGGCUGCUUAAUGGAAAAUUAGUGUUUUGUUG
Molecule: unclassified non-coding RNA, 2289 nt
Filed under: Hevea brasiliensis (rubber tree)
Lineage: Eukaryota; Viridiplantae; Streptophyta; Magnoliopsida; Malpighiales; Euphorbiaceae
Source: RNAcentral